This 468-nucleotide ribosomal RNA is filed under the name uncultured bacterium. RNAcentral describes it as "partial 16S ribosomal RNA". It matches the Rfam family "Bacterial small subunit ribosomal RNA", at positions 28 to 507 of the family's 1533-position model. The record is from RNAcentral.
GACGAACGCUGGCGGCGUGCUUAACACAUGCAAGUCGAACGGAAAGGCCCUGCUUUUGUGGGGUGCUCGAGUGGCGAACGGGUGAGUAACACGUGAGUAACCUGCCCUUGACUUUGGGAUAACUUCAGGAAACUGGGGCUAAUACCGGAUAGGAGCUCCUGCUGCAUGGUGGGGGUUGGAAAGUUUCGGCUGUUGGGGAUGGACUCGCGGCUUAUCAGCUUGUUGGUGGGGUAGUGGCUUACCAAGGCUUUGACGGGUAGCCGGCCUGAGAGGGUGACCGGCCACAUUGGGCCUAGGAUACGGUCCAGACUCCAACGGGAGGCAGCAGUGGGGAAUAUUGCACACUGGGCGGAAGCCUGAUGCAGCAACGCCGCGUGCGGGAUGACGGCCUUCGGGUUGUAAACCGCUUUCGCCUGUGACGAAGCGUGAGUGACGGUAAUGGGUAAAGAAGCACCGGCUAACUACGUG